UACGUAGGGGGCAAGCGUUGUCCGGAUUCACUGGGCGUAAAGAGCGCGUAGGCGGCUCGUUAAGUGUGAAGUGAAAUCUCUAGGGCUCAACCCAGAAACUGCUUUACAUACUGGCGAGCUGGAGUGAUGAAGAGGUUUGUGGAAUUCCUGGUGUAGCGGUGAAAUGCGUUGAUAUCAGGAGGAACACCGGUGGCGAAGGCGGCAUCCUGGACCAAUACUGACGCUGAGGCGCGAAAGCCAGGGGAGCAAACGGG
RNAcentral lists this ribosomal RNA (254 nucleotides) under uncultured bacterium. Its description in RNAcentral is "partial 16S ribosomal RNA". It matches the Rfam family "Bacterial small subunit ribosomal RNA", at positions 524 to 776 of the family's 1533-position model. The record is from RNAcentral.